CCUACGGGUGGCAGCAGUGGGGAAUAUUGGACAAUGGGGGCAACCCUGAUCCAGCCAUGCCGCGUGUGUGAAGAAGGCCCUCGGGUUGUAAAGCACUUUCAGUGAGGAAGAACGCCUGGUGGUUAAUACCCAUCAGGAAAGACAUCACUCACAGAAGAAGCACCGGCUAACUCCGUGCCAGCAGCCGCGGUAAUACGGAGGGUGCGAGCGUUAAUCGGAAUUACUGGGCGUAAAGCGCGCGUAGGUGGCUUGAUAAGCCGGUUGUGAAAGCCCCGGGCUCAACCUGGGAACGGCAUCCGGAACUGUCAGGCUAGAGUGCAGGAGAGGAAGGUAGAAUUCCCGGUGUAGCGGUGAAAUGCGUAGAGAUCGGGAGGAAUACCAGUGGCGAAGGCGGCCUUCUGGACUGACACUGACACUGAGGUGCGAAAGCGUGGGUAGCAAACAGGAUUAGAUACCCCAGUAGUC
Molecule: ribosomal RNA, 465 nt
Filed under: Vreelandella stevensii
Lineage: Bacteria; Pseudomonadati; Pseudomonadota; Gammaproteobacteria; Oceanospirillales; Halomonadaceae
Description: partial 16S ribosomal RNA
Rfam family: Bacterial small subunit ribosomal RNA
Source: RNAcentral